This 91-nucleotide transfer RNA is filed under the name Clostridium cylindrosporum DSM 605. RNAcentral's name for it is "tRNA-Ser". It matches the Rfam family "tRNA". Rfam says of the family: Transfer RNA (tRNA) molecules are approximately 80 nucleotides in length. Their secondary structure includes four short double-helical elements and three loops (D, anti-codon, and T loops). Further hydrogen bonds mediate the characteristic L-shaped molecular structure. tRNAs have two regions of fundamental functional importance: the anti-codon, which is responsible for specific mRNA codon recognition, and the 3' end, to which the tRNAs corresponding amino acid is attached (by aminoacyl-tRNA synthetases). tRNAs cope with the degeneracy of the genetic code in two manners: having more than one tRNA (with a specific anti-codon) for a particular amino acid; and 'wobble' base-pairing, i.e. permitting non-standard base-pairing at the 3rd anti-codon position. The record is from RNAcentral. Lineage: Bacteria; Bacillati; Bacillota; Clostridia; Eubacteriales; Clostridiaceae.
GGAGAAGUACUCAAGCGGCUGAAGAGGCGCCCCUGCUAAGGGCGUAGGCUGGGUAACUGGUGCGAGGGUUCAAAUCCCUCCUUCUCCGCCA